AAGCUGAUGGGAAAAGUGUCGGCACUCGGCUUCAUUUCAACCUGGAGGAAGAUUAGCAGCAUCAAUAGACGUUCAUCUUAAUGUCAACUGUUGAAAGGAUUUGUUUGCAUUAUAAUAUAAGUUUAAAAUACAUUUAAUCUGCAUAUUAUUUGAAGUUUAAUAGGAACGGAACAUUUAACUGGAUCAUGGACGACUAUCCACCGACGAAGAAUUUGUCAUUGAGCUGAUGGAAAAUGUGUCGGCACUCGGCUGUAUUUCAACACGGAGGACGUCUGGCAGCAGCAAAAAGAUAUUCAACUGACGAUAAUCAACUGUCGAAAGGAUUUGUUGUGAAGAAGAAUUUGUCAUUGAGCUGAUGGAAAAUGUGUCGGCACUCGGCUUCGUUUCAACACGGAGGACGUCUGGCAGCAGCAAAAAGAUAUUCAACUGACUAUAAUCUACUGUCGAAAGGAUUUGUUGUGAAGAAGAAUUUGUCACAAAGCUGAUGGGAAAUGUGUCGGCACUCGGCUGUAUUUCAACACGGAGGACGUCUAGCAGCAGCAAAAAGAAAUUCAACUGACGAUAAUCAACUGUCGAAAGGAUUUGUUGUGAAGAAGAAUUUGUCAUUGAGCUGAUGGAAAAUGUGUCGGCACUCGGCUGUAUUUCAACACGGAGGACGUCUGGCAGCAGCAAAAAGAUAUUCAACUGACGAUAAUCAACUGUCGAAAGGAUUUGUUGUGAAGAAGAAUUUGUCACAAAGCUGAUGGGAAAUGUGUCGGCACUCGGCUGUAUUUCAACACGGAGGACGUCUAGCAGCAGCAAAAAGAAAUUCAACUGACGAUAAUCAACUGUCGAAAGGAUUUGUUGUGAAGAAGAAUUUGUCACAAAGCUGAUGGGAAAAGUGUCGGCACUCGGCUUCAUUUCAACCUGGAGGAAGAUUAGCAGCAUCAAUAGACGUUCAUCUUAAUGUCAACUGUUGAAAGGAUUUGUUUGCAUUAUAAUAUAAGUUUAAAAUACAUUUAAUCUGCAUAUUAUUUGAAGUUUAAUAGGAACGGAACAUUUAACUGGAUCAUGGACGACUAUCCACCGACGAAGAAUUUGUCAUAGAGCUGAUGGAAAAUGUGUCGGCACUCGGCUUCGUUACAACACGGAGGACGUCUGGCAGCAGCAAAAAGAUAUUCAACUGACGAUAAUCUACUGUCGAAAUGAAGAAGAAUUUGUCAUUGAGCUGAUGGAAAAUGUGUCGGCACUCGGCUGUAUUUCAACACGGAGGACGUCUGGCAGCAGCAAAAAGAUAUUCAACUGACGAUAAUCAACUGUCGAAAGGAUUUGUUGUGAAGAAGAAUUUGUCAUUGAGCUGAUGGAAAAUGUGUCGGCACUCGGCUUCGUUUCAACACGGAGGACGUCUGGCAGCAGCAAAAAGAUAUUCAACUGACUAUAAUCUACUGUCGAAAGGAU
Molecule: long non-coding RNA, 1437 nt
Organism: Rhopalosiphum padi (bird cherry-oat aphid)
Lineage: Eukaryota; Metazoa; Arthropoda; Insecta; Hemiptera; Aphididae
Exons: 8
Source: RefSeq, a predicted model, not a curated record